This is a non-coding RNA of Paramuricea clavata, 2932 nucleotides long. The record is from the annotation of a GenBank genome assembly. NCBI's taxonomy places the organism in Eukaryota, Metazoa, Cnidaria, Anthozoa, Malacalcyonacea, Plexauridae.
AGUUGGAUAUCUUUAUGAAUGGAAAUCCGGUGGAUGCACUGAGUACUGUGGUGCAUGUUGAUAAAGCACUGGAAUUGGGAAAGGCUUUGUGCCUAAAGCUACAUAACUUGCUGUCAAGGUAAAAACUCGAAUAUCAUAAAGUAGGAUGGAUCUUUCAGUGAAAAGGAUUAGUUAAAAAUAUUUCGACGUUUUCACGCGAGAGCUUUUCGUCAGGAGGUUAUUAGCGACUGACCUUCUAACGAAAGACAAACAGUGUUGUUUCAGUCUUUGUAAUUGUAAUUGGAUGGAUUUCGUGAAAUUUGGGUAUAACAAGCACUUGUGAGUUUUUAAGGAUUUGCGAAGCAAAAUCCUUUAUGUCAUUGGGUGUGUAAGGUAGGUAGGUAGGUAGGUAGGUAGGUAGGUAGGUAGGUAGGUAGGUAGGUAGGUAGGUAGGUAGGUAGGUAGGUAGGUAGGUAGGUAGGUAGGUUGGUUGGUUGGUUGGUAGGUUGGUAGGUAGGUAGGUUGGUAGGUAGGUAGGUUGGUAGGUAGGUAGGUUGGUAGGUUGGUAGGUUGGUAGGUUGGUAGGUAGGUAGGUUGGUAGGUUGGUAGGUAGGUAGGUUGGUAGGUAGGUAGGUUGGUAGGUAGGUAGGUUGGUAGGUAGGUUGGUAGGUAGGUUGGUAGGUAGGUUGGUAGGUAGGUUGGUAGGUAGGUAGGUUGGUAGGUAGGUAGGUUGGUAGGUAGGUUGGUAGGUAGGUUGGUAGGUAGGUAGGUAGGUUGGUAGGUUGGUUGGUAGGUUGGUAGGUUGGUAGGUUGGUAAGCAAGUAUCAUAUAAACUGGGUUUUAAACCCAGUUUAUAUGAUAUUUGUUUAGAAUAUGGUAUUAAAGACGUUAAUUUCAUCUUUAUUUAUUUUUUGAAACAAGUAAACAAAUAAAAAAAAUUUCCCGCCAAAACUUACGGUUGCCAGUAAGAGUUCAAACGGCUUGUUUUCGUAACUUUCGUAACUUUUUUCUUAUUCUUAAAAAUGAUCCAAGAAUACUUUUUCUUCACAUAACGACCUUAUAAACGUGUAAAAACGUUUCAAAUUCGAGCCUGUCAAGUUGACAUACGGAAAACCGGUCCGGAUACGGGAAAAUAAGGACCACGGUCCGGAUACGGGAAAAUAAGGACCACGGUUCGGAUACGCAUUUUACGGACCGCACGUCAACCAAUCAGAAUCCAGGAUUCUGCAAAACCAUAUCAUAAUUAACAAUUAUUCGCCGAAGGCGAAGUGAUUACCGGUGAAUAAUGAGAAGUCGAGGUGAAUAUUCACCGUAAUCACUGAGCCUGUGGCGAAUAAUUGUUUUAAUAUAAAUUUUUAAUGAAUAAAAUAAAAUAUCCAAAUAUCAGUUCAAUUAAAAUUCAGAAAUAAAACUGUUUUCGGCCUGUUCACGGUUACUGUCACUAACAGUGUUGCAGUGUUUCUUGUACGCACACGCUUCCAAAAUGGCUUCUUGUGUGACUUUAUUGCUUUAUUACAAAGUUGUUUUUAUCGAUUUCUGCAUAGAAUAUAAACACAAUAACGGAAUUACUUUUUCACCAGACUUAGAAUUAAAAAUAGUUUCUGUUUAGCAUUAAUUUUUUCAGGAAAUGGAUGAGAAAUUUGGUAAAAUGAAAUGUAAAACUAUAUCGUUUGAUAUAAAAAUAUAAAGUUUUAAUAACACUUUUUACUUUACAAGUUUCGAAAACACAACACAGCGGUCAGAACGCCAUACAGAACAACGAAAACAUGACAUAUCGUACAAAUUGAGAAAUCUAUGGCCAUAGGAUACAAAACAAAAUGGAUUUAAAAGAACAUCACGGCAAGGUUUUUCCCAUUGAACAGUCGGGAUACUUUUUGCUAUUUGUUUGAAAACAAAAACUCCGGUUUUAAAUAAGUUUUAAAUUGUCCGUGAAUAUGUUUGAUACAGUAAAAUAAUAAAGGAAUCCUACCUUUCAAGUUAAAUACAAUUUGAAAAGCAUUAUUUACUACCCAGGUGGUAAAUAAUGCCUCAGAUUUACUAGUCAAUUAGCCAAUCAGGACGCGCGAAAGCUCAUUUGAUAUGCAAAAUUUAUAUUAAUACAUAUUAUUAGCACUGAUGAAGAUCCGGGCUUACGGAUCGAAAGCUUUGCAGUAAUAAAUUUACGUGAUGUUUCUGUAAAUACAAUUUGAAUUCGUUAUUACGUAAAUUAUAGAUUUGUUGUGAAUUUUCAAAGAUUUCGGUCAAAGCAACUGGUGCUUGCGAAUUAGUAAUUUUAUACAUAAGUCUGGCCUUCAUGAUCACCCUGCGUUCUUUUAAGGUUUCCAAGCCAACUCGGAUAACGCUGCUUCAGACUGACCGUAGUAUGACCCUUGCUGCUCUAUUUUGUAAAGUCUGAAUUCGAUUUGAAAGCGUGGCGCCAAUUGGGUCCCACACAAUGCAGCAGUAGUCAAAAUAAGGUUUGUAAUUUGUACAAAAGAUUUUCAAGAGGUAUGUUACCUUUAAUGAUCCAAAGGAUACAGGCUCAAAUAUUUUAAAGAGAAAACGUCAAAAACUCGGUGUAUUAAAAUAAGAAAUUAAACAUUGUAUUCGCUUCGUUAUUCAGCAAGUUUAUUCUCAACUUUGUGGGUUUUUUAACUUUCGGUAUAAUAUAUCAUUUAUAGACCCUUCGCUCGGGGGAUUUAUCAAAAUAUUACCCUCAUUGAUGAUAUUUCGGUUUGCCGAAUCGCCGCCGGGUAAUGAGUCCCCUUUAUGGUUUUCACUGGCUACAACAGCACGUGAAAAAUAUUCGGUUGAAUUCAUGUAUUUUCUGUUUCUUAUAGACAAUUAUUUGAGGUCGCUAUUCAAGCAAAAGUUGGUGGAAAGAUUAUCGCUCGACAAAGGUUUAUUUAAAUUGUUAAAAUGUAGAUGUAAUUAAUAAGCGAAGUUAAAAUUCCAGAUCUUUCACGCCUACGGC